Molecule: transfer RNA, 74 nt
Filed under: Amnibacterium setariae
Lineage: Bacteria; Bacillati; Actinomycetota; Actinomycetes; Micrococcales; Microbacteriaceae
Description: Amnibacterium sp. DD4a tRNA-Gly
Rfam family: tRNA
About the family: Transfer RNA (tRNA) molecules are approximately 80 nucleotides in length. Their secondary structure includes four short double-helical elements and three loops (D, anti-codon, and T loops). Further hydrogen bonds mediate the characteristic L-shaped molecular structure. tRNAs have two regions of fundamental functional importance: the anti-codon, which is responsible for specific mRNA codon recognition, and the 3' end, to which the tRNAs corresponding amino acid is attached (by aminoacyl-tRNA synthetases). tRNAs cope with the degeneracy of the genetic code in two manners: having more than one tRNA (with a specific anti-codon) for a particular amino acid; and 'wobble' base-pairing, i.e. permitting non-standard base-pairing at the 3rd anti-codon position.
Source: RNAcentral
GCGGGCGUAGUUCAAUGGCAGAACUCCAGCUUCCCAAGCUGGUAGCGCGGGUUCGAUUCCCGUCGCCCGCUCCG